ACGCUGGCGGCGUGCCUAAUACAUGCAAGUAGAACGCUGAAGAGAGGAGCUUGCUCUUCUUGGAUGAGUUGCGAACGGGUGAGUAACGCGUAGGUAACCUGCCUUGUAGCGGGGGAUAACUAUUGGAAACGAUAGCUAAUACCGCAUAACAAUGGAUGACACAUGUCAUUUAUUUGAAAGGGGCAAUUGCUCCACUACAAGAUGGACCUGCGUUGUAUUAGCUAGUAGGUGAGGUAAUGGCUCACCUAGGCGACGAUACAUAGCCGACCUGAGAGGGUGAUCGGCCACACUGGGACUGAGACACGGCCCAGACUCCUACGGGAGGCAGCAGUAGGGAAUCUUCGGCAAUGGGGGCAACCCUGACCGAGCAACGCCGCGUGAGUGAAGAAGGUUUUCGGAUCGUAAAGCUCUGUUGUAAGUCAAGAACGGGUGUGAGAGUGGAAAGUUCACACUGUGACGGUAGCUUACCAGAAAGGGACGGCUAACUACGUGCCAGCAGCCGCGGUAAUACGUAGGUCCCGAGCGUUGUCCGGAUUUAUUGGGCGUAAAGCGAGCGCAGGCGGUUUGAUAAGUCUGAAGUUAAAGGCUGUGGCUCAACCAUAGUUCGCUUUGGAAACUGUCAAACUUGAGUGCAGAAGGGGAGAGUGGAAUUCCAUGUGUAGCGGUGAAAUGCGUAGAUAUAUGGAGGAACACCGGUGGCGAAAGCGGCUCUGUGGUCUGUAACUGACGCUGAGGCUCGAAAGCGUGGGGAGCGAACAGGAUUAGAUACCCUGGUAGUCCACGCCGUAAACGAUGAGUGCUAGGUGUUGGAUCCUUUCCGGGAUUCAGUGCCGCAGCUAACGCAUUAAGCACUCCGCCUGGGGAGUACGACCGCAAGGUUGAAACUCAAAGGAAUUGACGGGGGCCCGCACAAGCGGUGGAGCAUGUGGUUUAAUUCGAAGCAACGCGAAGAACCUUACCAGGUCUUGACAUCCCGAUGCUAUUUCUAGAGAUAGAAAGUUACUUCGGUACAUCGGUGACAGGUGGUGCAUGGUAGUCGUCAGCUCGUGUCGUGAGAUGUUGGGUUAAGUCCCGCAACGAGCGCAACCCCUAUUGUUAGUUGCCAUCAUUCAGUUGGGCACUCUAGCGAGACUGCCGGUAAUAAACCGGAGGAAGGUGGGGAUGACGUCAAAUCAUCAUGCCCCUUAUGACCUGGGCUACACACGUGCUACAAAGGUUGGUACGAACGAGUUGCGAGUCGGUGACGGCGAGCUAAUCUCUUAAAGCCAAUCUGAGUUCGGAUUGUAGGCUGCAACUCGCCUACAUGAAGUCGGAAUGGCUAGUAAUCGCGGAUCAGCACGCCGCGGUGAAUACGUUCCCGGGCCUUGUACACACCGCCCGUCACACCACGAGUUUGUAACACCCGAAGUCGGUGAGGUAACCUUUGGAGCCAGCCGCCUAAGGUGGGACAGAUGAUUGGGG
RNAcentral lists this ribosomal RNA (1461 nucleotides) under Streptococcus sp. SCA22. RNAcentral's name for it is "16S ribosomal RNA". It matches the Rfam family "Bacterial small subunit ribosomal RNA". Lineage: Bacteria; Bacillati; Bacillota; Bacilli; Lactobacillales; Streptococcaceae. The record is from RNAcentral.